GAAGAAGACUGUCAUUAACAAACCAUACAAGGUACUCUUCCCUCCAGGAGUAACAGGAUUCAAGAUAGGAUAAAUGACUCCAAGUUUCUGCAAUUAAUUUAUAAUGAAAAAAAUCUGAACUCUAUGAAAGAGCAACACCAGAACUUCAACAACUGUCUAAGUUCCUCUACUACACCAUCCUUCAGUGCAUCCCUAGUCCUGCACUAGGAGGACUCAAAAGAAACUUCCGGAAGGAGAAUACAGAAGUCCAAAACUAAAAGAUAAGA
Molecule: long non-coding RNA, 266 nt
Organism: Molossus molossus (Pallas's mastiff bat)
Lineage: Eukaryota; Metazoa; Chordata; Mammalia; Chiroptera; Molossidae
Exons: 3
Source: RefSeq, a predicted model, not a curated record